CAAUUGAAGGGUUUGAUCCUGGCUCAGAAUGAACGUUGGCGGCGUGGAUUAGGCAUGCAAGUCGAGCGACAAGGUCCUUCGGGACUGGAGGAGCGGCAAACGGGGUAGUAAUGCGUCGGAACGCACCCACGAGACGGGAAUAGCCGCGGGAAACUGCGGGUAAUGCCCGAUAAUAUCUUCGGAUCAAAGGUCCGCCGCUUGUGGAGCGGCCGAUGUGGUAUCAGGUAGUUGGCGGGGUAACGGCCCACCAAGCCAUAGACGCCUAGGGGGUGUGAGAGCAUGGCCCCCACCACUGGGAC
This 299-nucleotide ribosomal RNA is filed under the name Planctomycetales bacterium. RNAcentral's name for it is "partial 16S ribosomal RNA". It matches the Rfam family "Bacterial small subunit ribosomal RNA", at positions 1 to 319 of the family's 1533-position model. Lineage: Bacteria; Pseudomonadati; Planctomycetota; Planctomycetia; Planctomycetales. The record is from RNAcentral.